GUGCUCACUUCGGCAGCACAUAUACUAAAAUUGGAACGAUACAGAGAAGAUUAGCAUGGCCCCUGUGCAAGGAUGACAUGCAAAUUCAUGAAGCGUUCCAUAAAAAA
Small nuclear RNA from Oryctolagus cuniculus (rabbit), 107 nucleotides. NCBI's taxonomy places the organism in Eukaryota, Metazoa, Chordata, Mammalia, Lagomorpha, Leporidae. The record is from Ensembl.